UUUUAAAAGAAGAUUUCUUCGGAUUGACUCUUUUAUUAUCUUAGCGGCGGACGGGUGAGUAACGCGUGAGAAACCUGCCUUUCACAAAGGGAUAGCCUCGGGAAACUGGGAUUAAUACCUUAUGAUACUUUUAGAUAGCAUUAUUUAAAAGUCAAAGCGUAAAGCGGUGAAAGAUGGUCUCGCGUCCCAUUAGCUAGUUGGUGAGAUAAAAGCUCACCAAGGCAACGAUGGGUAACCGGCCUGAGAGGGUGAACGGUCACACUGGAACUGAGACACGGUCCAGACUCCUACGGGAGGCAGCAGUGGGGAAUAUUGCACAAUGGAGGAAACUCUGAUGCAGCGACGCCGCGUGAACGAUGAAGGCUUUCGAGUCGUAAAGUUCUGUCCUAGGGGACGAUAAUGACGGUACCCUAGGAGGAAGCCCCGGCUAAUUACGUGCCAGCAGCCGCGGUAAUACGUAAGGGGCGAGCGUUGUCCGGAAUUAUUGGGCGUAAAGGGUUCGCAGGCGGCCUUUUAAGUCAGAUGUGAAAUCUCACGGCUUAACCGUGGUAAGCAUUUGAAACUGAAAGGCUUGAGUUAAGGAGAGGAAAGUGGAAUUCCUAGUGUAGCGGUGAAAUGCGUAGAUAUUAGGAAGAAUACCAGUGGCGAAGGCGACUUUCUGGACUUAUACUGACGCUGAGGAACGAAAGCAUGGGGAGCAAACAGGAUUAGAUACCCUGGUAGUCCAUGCCGUAAACGAUGAGUGCUAGGUGUUGGGGGUCAAACCUCGGUGCCGCAGCUAACGCAUUAAGCACUCCGCCUGGGGAGUACGUACGCAAGUAUGAAACUCAAAGGAAUUGACGGGGACCCGCACAAGCAGCGGAGCAUGUGGUUUAAUUCGAAGC
This 884-nucleotide ribosomal RNA is filed under the name Tissierella sp. RNAcentral's name for it is "bacterial SSU rRNA". It matches the Rfam family "Bacterial small subunit ribosomal RNA", at positions 67 to 957 of the family's 1533-position model. The record is from RNAcentral. Lineage: Bacteria; Bacillati; Bacillota; Tissierellia; Tissierellales; Tissierellaceae.